Neofelis nebulosa (Clouded leopard) is the source of this 3215-nucleotide RNA transcript. It is a transcript of the gene named mitochondrial ribosomal protein L47, with no coding region annotated. The record is from RefSeq and is a predicted model, not a curated record. NCBI's taxonomy places the organism in Eukaryota, Metazoa, Chordata, Mammalia, Carnivora, Felidae. The transcript is spliced from 8 exons.
GGAAAUGACAUCAUUGUGGAGAAACCGCGGUAUCCUUACUUUCUGUGGAGACAUGGCUGCGGCCAGUUUGGGCAGUGUUUGCAGAAAAGUCUUAACCGGGCUGAAAGCUUCUAAGUCGCUAAUAAGUCUUCAGGCCCCACCUAGCACAGGUUGCAGGUUUUCUCUUAGUCUUUUGCCUAAGAAUAUACCAAAUGUCACAUCUUUUCACCAGUGUAGAUUACUUCAUACCACAUUGUCAAGAAAAGGACUGGAAGAAUUUUUUGAUGACCCAAAGAAUUGGGGGGAAGAAAAAGUGAAAUCUGGAGCUUCAUGGACCUGUCAGCAAUUAAGGAAUAAAAGUAAUGAAGAUUUACAUAAACUUUGGUAUGUCCUACUGAAAGAAAGAAACAUGCUCUUAACUUUAGAGCAGGAGGCCAAGCGGCAGAGGUUGCCAAUGCCCAGUCCGGAGCGGUUAGAAAAGGUAAUAGAUUCCAUGGAUGCCUUAGAUAAAGUUGUCCAGGAAAGAGAGGAUGCCCUAAGACUUCUUCAGACUGGUCAAGAAAAAGCUAGACCUGGUGCCUGGAGAAGAGACAUCUUUGGAAGAAUCAUCUGGCACAAGUUCAAGCAGUGGCCUAUACCUUGGUACCUAAAUAAAAGAUACAACAGGAAACGAUUCUUCGCAAUGCCCUAUGUGGAACGUUUUAUGAGAUUGAGAAUUGAGAAACAAGCCCGCAUUGAAGCAAGGAAGAAAAGUUUAGAGAAAAAGAAAGAAAAAUUUCUUCAGGAAAAGUUUCCACGUCAUUCUGAAGCCCAGAAGUCAAGUGUUGUCUAAGAUGUCUGAAUUCUGAAGUUACUAUUUUGUUUUCCUUGGAUAACAAUCUAUAUACAAAAAAAUACUUCAUGAAGGCACCUGGGUGGCUCAGUAGUUAAGCAUCUGACUUUGGCUCAGGUCAUGAUCUCACAGUUCAUGAGAUCGAACCCCGCAUCAGGUAGACACCAACCAGCCCUGCUUCCGCUAAAAAACAAAAACAGGCCCUGCUUCAGGCAAGCCCCAUUUCUCUCUCUUCCCCUCCUGGGAUUCUCUCUCUCUCUCUCUCUCUCUCUCUCCCUGCCCCUUCGCUCACUUGUGCCCUCUCUCUCUUGCUCUCAAAAGAGAAAAAAAGAAAAAAAAAGAAGUACUUCCUGACAUUUACUUUGGCUGCUCUGAGGUGAAGGGGAAAUUCCCCAAGUCUACGGUGCAAAUAAAUACAAGGACUCUUCCUCCUGAUUCAAGGUAGGCACCCAUCUGAGCAACGUGAAAAACCCAGCACCAUGACUUCAACCAUUUGCCCCAAGAACCAACUCCUGACUUCCUCAACCUCACCAAGAGGCCAGGGAACAACCAGAACCUGAGAAGGAAUGAUUUAAGUCCUGACCAGUUCCAAUGGGAGUAUGAAAGGGCACAAAUAUGUUAGUAGAAUCCCCACCUUUGAGAAGGGAAACUGAAAUGAGGCUGACAAAUAGCAACUGAUAAGGCACUAAAGCAUUUUGUUAAAUUAGAACAUAUAAUUCAUUUGAUAGUUAUACAAAGAUAAAUGAUGCACUGAAAUUAUUUUUAAUCUUUUUACUAAACUUAGUUUAUAUUCACUGGUACACUUAAAUCAUUCAAUAAGACUAUUUUUCAAAGUAGUUUACUAACCAAAGAUGCUAGAAUGGAGCCACCAAUCCAUGAACUAAACCUCCGUUCUACUGUUGUAUUAUUUGCAAUCAAUUUCAACCGCAUACUCUAAAAUAGAGAGGGAAGAAUAAGUAUUAGGACAAUCAAGUAAAACAGGUGACUCAAUUCAAAAAAUUCAACUUUGAGGACUUCUUAACAAUUGGUUCAAACACCAGUUACACGUGAUUAUUUUGCAAAAGCUAGGCUAAUAGUAGGCAUAGUUUGAAUUACUAUAUAGAAAGUACUUUGAUUAUGGUUUUUAAUGUAUAAUAUUUAAUAAUUACAUCAACCUUAGAAAACUAAAGGUUUUCUAAAACUAAAGAGUAUGGCAUUCACAACGAUACCCUAGAAUAACAGCAAACACAUACUUAACACUUACCUAUAAAUCAGGUAUCGUGCUAAGUGCUUCAUGUGGUAUUCCAUUUCUUCCAAUACCAAAUACCAUUACUGUCCCAACCUGCCACCUUCUAUAGUCCUCACCUUUCUACCUACUUUUUUAGUAUCUUGUCCUAAUUCCUCCUAUCUUAGGUCACUCCCACCACUCCUCCACUUCCACAUCAAAAUGCAGACAUUAGAUCUCAGGUUUUUUAUUCAUAACUGGUUUCCUCCCAAAUGAGUGUUUAUGUUUUGAACUCACACUCUCUUGAUAAACAUGGUUUUGUGGCUCAGUACUAUUGCUUCCUGUCUCCCUGCAUCAAGAGAUUUUCCCCCUACCUAGGACUUUGUUUCCAGGGAUAGUUCUUAAAUUGUUGAUACUCUAUUAUUUUAUAUGAACACAUAGUUUGUGUUCAUUCAACAGUGAAAUAAAUGUAUAUGUUUCAGGAGUAAAAUAAGUGAUAUGGGAGGAGAGGGUGCUGGGAGCAGGAGGGAUGAAAAUGGAUUUUUGUAGAUGAGGAACUGCUUGGUAUCUGUUGCAAUGGAAUUUUUUCCUGUUAUUUCAUCUAUUUUUAAUUGUCUCCUAAAUGAGAUGGAUAAUAUCUAACUGCUCUUGACCAAGACCUUGGACAGCCCAGGUCUGUAUUUGUUAUUCUGGGGCUUAUUAUCAAACCUAAUGAUUAGUAUUAUAAUUAAGUUCUAUUCCAGAUCAGACUGUAUCUCCAAGAAUGUAGUAAAUACAAUUCAAGUGUCAAUCUUGUGCCUAUAUCAGUAUUUACAUAACAACUUAACCAUUACAAAAAUGUGCCAUAUGUAAAAUGUUCCUUUGUAUGAGAAACAAAAAGACUGCCAAAUAUACAAAUUCUACAGAUACUAUUAGGACCCAUGUAACCCCUAAGUUUCCUUUAAUGUAAUAACUAAUACAAAGUAUCAUACAAAAAACUACUUGAUAAAAGUUUUAAAAUCUAAAGAUUAUGACUAGGGGAGUGUGGGUGGCUCAGUGGGUUGAGCAUCUGAUUCUUGAUUUCGGCCCAGGUCAUCUCAUGAUUUGUGAGAUCGAGCCCUGUGUCAGGCUAUGUGCUGACAGUGUGGAACCUACUUGGGAUUCUCUCUCUCUCCCUUUCUCUCUGGCCCUGCCUGCUUGUGCAUUCUCUCUCUUUCUCUC